Molecule: ribosomal RNA, 497 nt
Filed under: uncultured bacterium
Lineage: Bacteria
Description: partial 16S ribosomal RNA
Rfam family: Bacterial small subunit ribosomal RNA
Source: RNAcentral
GACGAACGCUGGCGGCGUGCCUAAUACAUGCAAGUUGAGCGCUGAAGGUUGGUACUUGUACCAACUGGAUGAGCAGCGAACGGGUGAGUAACGCGUGGGGAAUCUGCCUUUGAGCGGGGGACAACAUUUGGAAACGAAUGCUAAUACCGCAUAAAAACUUUAAACACAAGUUUUAAGUUUGAAAGAUGCAAUUGCAUCACUCAAAGAUGAUCCCGCGUUGUAUUAGCUAGUUGGUGAGGUAAAGGCUCACCAAGGCGAUGAUACAUAGCCGACCUGAGAGGGUGAUCGGCCACAUUGGGACUGAGACACGGCCCAAACGCCUACGGGAGGCAGCAGUAGUGAAUCUUCGGCAAUGGACGAAAGUCUGACCGAGCAACGCCGCGGGAGUGAAGAAGGUUUUCGGAUCGUAAAACUCUGUUGGUAGAGAAGAACGUUGGUGAGAGUGGAAAGCUCAUCAAGUGACGGUAACUACCCAGAAAGGGACGGCUAACUACGUG